Molecule: ribosomal RNA, 490 nt
Filed under: uncultured bacterium
Lineage: Bacteria
Description: partial 16S ribosomal RNA
Rfam family: Bacterial small subunit ribosomal RNA
Source: RNAcentral
AUUGAACGCUGGCGGCAGGCCUAACACAUGCAAGUCGAACGGUAACAGGAAGAUGCUUGCUUCUUUGCUGACGAGUGGCGGACGGGUGAGUAAUGUCUGGGAAACUGCCUGAUGGAGGGGGAUAACUACUGGAAACGGUAGCUAAUACCGCAUAACGUCGCAAGCCCAAAGAGGGGGACCUUCGGGCCUCUUGCCAUCGGAUGUGCCCAGAUGGGAUUAGCUAGUAGGUGGGGUAACGGCUCACCUAGGCGACGAUCCCUAGCUGGUCUGAGAGGAUGACCAGCCACACUGGAACUGAGACACGGACCAGACGCCUACGGGAGGCAGCAGUGGGGAAUAUUGCACAAUGGGCGCAAGCCUGAUGCAGCCAGGCCGCGUGUAUGAAGAAGGCCUUCGGGUUGUAAAGUACUUUCAGCGGGGAGGAAGGGAGUAAAGUUAAUACCUUUGCUCAUUGACGUUACCCGCAGAAGAAGCACCGGCUAACUCCGUG